UUUCUCCCUUCUGCAACCUCAACAAAACCUCUGUAUGCUGGAAAGGAAGCUGACAUCCUCUAAAGUAUGUAGGCUUUUGCUGUGGUUCGGAUCGCAAAUGUUUUCCAAAGGCUCAUGUACUAAAAUGGCUGGUCUGAGUUUGGCACUCUUAAGAAAUAGUGGAACGCUUGAAGAAGCAGGACUUGGUGAAAGGCACUGGUUGCUGCAGACAUGCUUUUGAAGAGUUCUGUGGGUCUCCAGUGGACAUCUGUCUUACGCUUCUGCCCUCAGGCCUUGAAGAGAGCUGAUUCCUUCUGGCAGCCAUUCUUUCCACAAAUCACCUUCCAAGCCACAGAGUGGCACUUUUCAAAGGAGUAUCACAUGAACAGUUGAAAACGGAGAAGUCUUUCUACAAAUCUAGGAAUAACAGUGUGAUGGUUAAACAUGACCCAGUUUCCCUGGAUGUUUCUGUCUCCAGCAGGAAGGAAUCAGUGAUAUCAAGUGACGAUUUGAGAAGAUCAGCAAAGCUUAAGUUUCUUAUUUCAGCAUAACCCAAUGUUACCCAUCUCAAUGAACAAUCAACCACUCUUAACUCUGCUUUAUAAAACAAAAGAUGAACCAAAAAUGAAUACCAGAAGAUAAAUAUAAAACAUGCUACAGUUACUCAGCCAAGAUUCCUGGAUAUCCAUGACUACAAGCAUUUUCACUCAAUGAAUUUUACAUUCCGUUGCUCAGACCACGUAUACAGGGUAAGUUUCCAUCAUACAGAUUGAUCUGCUGUGCAUUACCCGGUGAAACUGCUUUGGAUAUUGACACAUGUCGGCUCUCCAUCAGCAUGCAUUCAUUGUCAAAUUAUCAAUUAGUUUUGAAAUCUACUACGUAGCAAUUGCAAUUAUUGCUAAACUCACUUUACCUAAUUUACUUUAGUCAAAAUGAACCUUUUCCUUGACUAAGUCUUCAUUUACUCUUCAUUGACUAAUAAAGCAUUUUCAUCUUAA
Long non-coding RNA from Mesocricetus auratus (golden hamster), 977 nucleotides. RefSeq lists it as uncharacterized. The record is from RefSeq and is a predicted model, not a curated record. NCBI's taxonomy places the organism in Eukaryota, Metazoa, Chordata, Mammalia, Rodentia, Cricetidae. The transcript is spliced from 3 exons.